GAGGAUGAGAACCUCCGGGGGCAGGAGGUUCGACUCGAGCGAAGCGAGAGAACGUUGCGUCAGCAACGGCCCGUAGGGCGAGCCACGAAGUGGUGAGUCAUCCUC
RNAcentral lists this small RNA (105 nucleotides) under Klebsiella pneumoniae. RNAcentral describes it as "RtT sRNA". It matches the Rfam family "RtT RNA", at positions 18 to 118 of the family's 130-position model. Rfam says of the family: This family represents a bacterial cis-regulatory element known as RtT RNA. The exact function of RtT is unknown although it is thought that it may be involved in changing the cellular response in relation to amino acid starvation. RNAcentral also lists the same sequence under 1 other name. The record is from RNAcentral. Lineage: Bacteria; Pseudomonadati; Pseudomonadota; Gammaproteobacteria; Enterobacterales; Enterobacteriaceae.